ACACAUGCAAGUCGAACGGUAGCAGGAAGAAAGCUUGCUUUCUUUGCUGACGAGUGGCGGACGGGUGAGUAAUGCUUGGGAAUCUGGCUUAUGGAGGGGGAUAACUGUGGGAAACUGCAGCUAAUACCGCGUAAUCUCUGAGGAGUAAAGGGUGGGACCUCUUGGCCACCUGCCAUAAGAUGAGCCCAAGUGGGAUUAGGUAGUUGGUGGGGUAAAGGCCUACCAAGCCUGCGAUCUCUAGCUGGUCUGAGAGGAUGACCAGCCACACUGGAACUGAGACACGGUCCAGACUCCUACGGGAGGCAGCAGUGGGGAAUAUUGCGCAAUGGGGGGAACCCUGACGCAGCCAUGCCGCGUGAAUGAAGAAGGCCUUCGGGUUGUAAAGUUCUUUCGGUAAUGAGGAAGGGAUGUUGUUAAAUAGAUGGCAUCAUUGACGUUAAUUACAGAAGAAGCACCGGCUAACUCCGUGCCAGCAGCCGCGGUAAUACGGAGGGUGCGAGCGUUAAUCGGAAUAACUGGGCGUAAAGGGCACGCAGGCGGACUUUUAAGUGAGAUGUGAAAUCCCCGAGCUUAACUUGGGAAUUGCAUUUCAGACUGGGAGUCUAGAGUACUUUAGGGAGGGGUAGAAUUCCACGUGUAGCGGUGAAAUGCGUAGAGAUGUGGAGGAAUACCGAAGGCGAAGGCAGCCCCUUGGGAAUGUACUGACGCUCAUGUGCGAAAGCGUGGGGAGCA
This 732-nucleotide ribosomal RNA is filed under the name Pasteurella multocida. Its description in RNAcentral is "bacterial SSU rRNA". It matches the Rfam family "Bacterial small subunit ribosomal RNA", at positions 51 to 770 of the family's 1533-position model. Lineage: Bacteria; Pseudomonadati; Pseudomonadota; Gammaproteobacteria; Pasteurellales; Pasteurellaceae. The record is from RNAcentral.